This 373-nucleotide ribosomal RNA is filed under the name uncultured Bacteroidales bacterium. Its description in RNAcentral is "bacterial SSU rRNA". It matches the Rfam family "Bacterial small subunit ribosomal RNA", at positions 22 to 394 of the family's 1533-position model. Lineage: Bacteria; Pseudomonadati; Bacteroidota; Bacteroidia; Bacteroidales. The record is from RNAcentral.
GCUCAGGAUGAACGCUAGCUACAGGCUUAACACAUGCAAGUCGAGGGGUAGCAGGGUAGCAAUACCGCUGACGACCGGCGCACGGGUGAGUAACACGUAUCCAACCUUCCCAUAACUCGGGGAUAGCCUUUCGAAAGAAAGAUUAAUACCCGAUAGUACUUUUUUAGGGCAUCUUAGAAAAGUUAAAGAUUUAUUGGUUAUGGAUGGGGAUGCGUUCCAUUAGAUAGUUGGUGAGGUAACGGCUCACCAAGUCUUCGAUGGAUAGGGGUUCUGAGAGGAAGGUCCCCCACAUUGGUACUGAGACACGGACCAAACUCCUACGGGAGGCAGCAGUGAGGAAUAUUGGUCAAUGGGCGAGAGCCUGAACCAGCCA